GAGGACAAUUUUAGCCUUCAAUUGGCGUCAUAUUUUCGUUUGUAAAUUUUCCUUUUUCCCCCAAAACCUUCUCGUGGAAGUGAGUAUCUGGUUCUCGAGAGCUUUGCAUUGUUGACUCCGAUGGAUCGAACACAGAUAGAUCUGUUAGGGCUGCCGAUCUUUCUGCUUUUGACUGAUAUUGUGAAUCUUUUUACUCCUCCGCCUCCUAAACCGGCCAAUCACUCUCCACCUCGAGUUCACUAUCAGCCUAAAUCUGAAUCAGUCAUCCAGGAACCGAUUGAAUUUCCUACGGAGAAACAGAGCGGAAUCGGAGGAAUUGGCCAUGGCAGCGUUAUCAAUAUCAAUUUCCGCGUUUCUUGUUCUUCAGGUAGUUCAUCUUCAUUAUUAUAAAAGUUUGUGUCUAUCUGUCUCAUUUUGGGCGGAAAAGGUACUGCAAUAACGAUGAAAAAUAUGCUGGAGUCAUCAUUUCCUGGAGUUGAAGUUAUUUUGGCAAAUUAUCCCCCACUCCUCCCAAAGCGUCUUCUCAGUAAAGUAGUACCCGUCGUCCAAUUUGGAAUCAUUGCAACAAUAAUGGCGGGGGAACAGAUUUUUCCUAGGUUGGGGAUGGCACCACCACCUUGGUACUAUUCCUUGCGUGCUAAUAGGUUAGAAGCAUCGCAAGCACUUGGCUGUUUGGAAAUUUUAUCCAGUCGUUCUUACAAAGUUCUGGAGCCUUCGAAGUAUAUUGCAAUGGUGAAAUGUUGAAGGAGCAGUGAUUUCCUGGUGAGAUCGAGUUGAGAGACGUUAUUGGUAGGAAACUUUCUGGGUCAAGAUUUGUUGACGACUCAGGAGGGGUUUGGUCAUAGCCAAGCAGGAGCAUGUUUGAGAGAUAGAUCCAGUUUCAAUAUGCCUAUCCUAAACAUAAUCCCUGGCUAGCGAAACAGUUUGAAGCCUGCUGCGCUACCCAAAGUAAGCCGCCGAUAACCUUUUUGGCUGCCUAUCAACAGGUAAUAGACUUUGCUGGUGAGCAGACCAAUGGUAUCAUUUACUAUUAACUUCGGAAAUGUUUGUUUAAAAAUGAACUAAUGAGUAGUGCUGUAAGGAUUUUGAUAACAACAUCUAGGUUUUUAAACUAAAAAAAUUUAAAUUUCAACUUUAUUAAGAAUUCACAAAUCUAUGAAAAAAAAAUUUAAAAUUUUAAUCUUUUAUUAGACACCAUAUUUAGUUUUAUGUAUAAUUAAUUUGUGAAUGACUCAUUUGACAAUCUCUAUAUACAAAAUUAUCUAGUAUUUUUUUUUAUAAGUAUAAGUACAUCAAACUUUAGUGAUUAAUUUAUAAUAUAACUAAGAAAAUUCUCACCAUGUACAAUAUUUUGAUGAUGAAUAUAGAGUUAGGCAUGUUUAAUUCUUGUUCAUAAACGCUUGCUUCAAACUUGUAAAUUUUUAUAUCACGUG
Molecule: non-coding RNA, 1433 nt
Organism: Cucurbita pepo subsp. pepo (vegetable marrow)
Lineage: Eukaryota; Viridiplantae; Streptophyta; Magnoliopsida; Cucurbitales; Cucurbitaceae
Source: RefSeq, a predicted model, not a curated record